GGAAGGGUGUCUGAGUGGUUGAAAGAACACGAUUGGAAAUCGUGUAUAGCCGUAAGGUUAUCAUGGGUUCGAAUCCCAUCCCUUCCGCCA
Molecule: transfer RNA, 90 nt
Filed under: Candidatus Shapirobacteria bacterium CG_4_9_14_3_um_filter_39_13
Lineage: Bacteria; Candidatus Shapironibacteriota
Also listed under: 2 other names
Description: tRNA-Ser
Rfam family: tRNA
About the family: Transfer RNA (tRNA) molecules are approximately 80 nucleotides in length. Their secondary structure includes four short double-helical elements and three loops (D, anti-codon, and T loops).
Source: RNAcentral